Molecule: ribosomal RNA, 497 nt
Filed under: uncultured bacterium
Lineage: Bacteria
Description: partial 16S ribosomal RNA
Rfam family: Bacterial small subunit ribosomal RNA
Source: RNAcentral
GAUGAACGCUGGCGGCGUGCCUAAUACAUGCAAGUCGAGCGAACAGACGCUGAGCUUGCUCCUCUCACGUUAGCCGCAGACGGGUGUGUCACACGUGUAUCACCUACCUAUAAGACUGGUAUAACUUCGGGACUCCGGAGCAAAUACCGUAUAAUAUAUUGAACCACAGGGUUGAUUAGUGAAAUUCGGCUUUGCUGUCUCUAAUAGCUGGUUCUGCGCUGCUUUAGCUGGUUGGUAAGGUAACGGCUUACCAAGGCAACGAUGCGUAGCCGACCUGACAGGGUGAUCGCCCGCACUGGAGGGGGGACACGGUCCAGACUCCUGAGGGAGGGAGCAGUAGGGAAUCUUCCGCAGUAGUGGGAAACAUGACGGAGCGGCGGCGCGUGAGUGAUGAAGAUGUUCGGUGCGUAAAACCCUGUUUUGAGGGAAGAACAAAUUUGUAAGUUACUAUGCACGGCGUGACGGUACCUGAUCAGAAAGCAACGGCUAACUACGUG